GCGAACGUAGCUCAGUCGGUAGAGUCCCGGAUUGUGAUUCCGGUUGUCGCGGGUUCGAGCCCCGUCGUUCGCCCCA
RNAcentral lists this transfer RNA (76 nucleotides) under Magnetococcales bacterium. RNAcentral describes it as "tRNA-His". It matches the Rfam family "tRNA". From Rfam's summary of the family: Transfer RNA (tRNA) molecules are approximately 80 nucleotides in length. Their secondary structure includes four short double-helical elements and three loops (D, anti-codon, and T loops). Further hydrogen bonds mediate the characteristic L-shaped molecular structure. tRNAs have two regions of fundamental functional importance: the anti-codon, which is responsible for specific mRNA codon recognition, and the 3' end, to which the tRNAs corresponding amino acid is attached (by aminoacyl-tRNA synthetases). tRNAs cope with the degeneracy of the genetic code in two manners: having more than one tRNA (with a specific anti-codon) for a particular amino acid; and 'wobble' base-pairing, i.e. permitting non-standard base-pairing at the 3rd anti-codon position. The record is from RNAcentral. Lineage: Bacteria; Pseudomonadati; Pseudomonadota; Magnetococcia; Magnetococcales. RNAcentral also lists the same sequence under 1 other name.